GCGUCUAUAUGAAACUGCCUUCUAAGCAGUGGGCCGGGGGUUCAAGUCCCUCCAGGCGCG
Molecule: transfer RNA, 60 nt
Filed under: Nitrospirota bacterium
Lineage: Bacteria; Pseudomonadati; Nitrospirota
Description: Nitrospirae bacterium (sediment metagenome) tRNA-Leu
Rfam family: tRNA
About the family: Transfer RNA (tRNA) molecules are approximately 80 nucleotides in length. Their secondary structure includes four short double-helical elements and three loops (D, anti-codon, and T loops). Further hydrogen bonds mediate the characteristic L-shaped molecular structure. tRNAs have two regions of fundamental functional importance: the anti-codon, which is responsible for specific mRNA codon recognition, and the 3' end, to which the tRNAs corresponding amino acid is attached (by aminoacyl-tRNA synthetases). tRNAs cope with the degeneracy of the genetic code in two manners: having more than one tRNA (with a specific anti-codon) for a particular amino acid; and 'wobble' base-pairing, i.e. permitting non-standard base-pairing at the 3rd anti-codon position.
Source: RNAcentral